UACGUAGGGUGCGAGCGUUAAUCGGAAUUACUGGGCGUAAAGCGUGCGCAGGCGGUUCGUUAAGUCAGUUGUGAAAGCCCCGGGCUCAACCUGGGAAUUGCGGUUGAAACUGGCGAACUAGAAUCUGGCAGAGGGGGGUGGAAUUCCACGUGUAGCAGUGAAAUGCGUAGAGAUGUGGAGGAACACCGAUGGCGAAGGCAGCCCCCUGGGCUAGCACUGACGCUCAGGCACGAAAGCGUGGGGAGCAAACAGG
RNAcentral lists this ribosomal RNA (253 nucleotides) under uncultured bacterium. Its description in RNAcentral is "partial 16S ribosomal RNA". It matches the Rfam family "Bacterial small subunit ribosomal RNA", at positions 524 to 776 of the family's 1533-position model. The record is from RNAcentral.